AAGGGAGACCUAAUUCAGGUAGGAGACGAAAAAAAAGUAGUCCCAACCAAGAAUCAAUCCCAAAAGGUCGGAGCGAGGCGAAAUUGGCUUUCAAACUAGGUUCUGGGUUCACACAAGACCUGAAUCAGGAACAAGGGCUAUUAGCUCAGGUGGUUAGAGCGCACCCCUGAUAAGGGUGAGGUCCCUGGUUCGAGUCCAGGAUGGCCCACCUGCACAGGUGGCAAAAACAAGAGAAGCUCCGAAUCAGCACCUUAUCUUAUCUAUAUAUAUAUAGGAGAGAAUGCUGGCUCUGAGUAAAGAGUCCAGAGGAACCUUGAAAACUGCAUAGAGCUAGGUGAAAAAGCCAAAAAAGAAGACCGCAA
RNAcentral lists this transfer RNA (362 nucleotides) under uncultured Microcystis sp. Its description in RNAcentral is "partial miscellaneous RNA". The stretch from base 135 to 208 matches the Rfam family "tRNA". The record is from RNAcentral. Lineage: Bacteria; Bacillati; Cyanobacteriota; Cyanophyceae; Chroococcales; Microcystaceae.